Molecule: ribosomal RNA, 1530 nt
Filed under: Escherichia coli KTE64
Lineage: Bacteria; Pseudomonadati; Pseudomonadota; Gammaproteobacteria; Enterobacterales; Enterobacteriaceae
Also listed under: 1 other name
Description: bacterial SSU rRNA
Rfam family: Bacterial small subunit ribosomal RNA
Source: RNAcentral
AGAGUUUGAUCAUGGCUCAGAUUGAACGCUGGCGGCAGGCCUAACACAUGCAAGUCGAACGGUAACAGGAAGCAGCUUGCUGCUUCGCUGACGAGUGGCGGACGGGGGAGUAAUGUCUGGGAAACUGCCUGAUGGAGGGGGAUAACUACUGGAAACGGUAGCUAAUACCGCAUAACGUCGCAAGACCAAAGAGGGGGACCUUCGGGCCUCUUGCCAUCGGAUGUGCCCAGAUGGGAUUAGCUAGUAGGUGGGGUAACGGCUCACCUAGGCGACGAUCCCUAGCUGGUCUGAGAGGAUGACCAGCCACACUGGAACUGAGACACGGUCCAGACUCCUACGGGAGGCAGCAGUGGGGAAUAUUGCACAAUGGGCGCAAGCCUGAUGCAGCCAUGCCGCGUGUAUGAAGAAGGCCUUCGGGUUGUAAAGUACUUUCAGCGGGGAGGAAGGGAGUAAAGUUAAUACCUUUGCUCAUUGACGUUACCCGCAGAAGAAGCACCGGCUAACUCCGUGCCAGCAGCCGCGGUAAUACGGAGGGUGCAAGCGUUAAUCGGAAUUACUGGGCGUAAAGCGCACGCAGGCGGUUUGUUAAGUCAGAUGUGAAAUCCCCGGGCUCAACCUGGGAACUGCAUCUGAUACUGGCAAGCUUGAGUCUCGUAGAGGGGGGUAGAAUUCCAGGUGUAGCGGUGAAAUGCGUAGAGAUCUGGAGGAAUACCGGUGGCGAAGGCGGCCCCCUGGACGAAGACUGACGCUCAGGUGCGAAAGCGUGGGGAGCAAACAGGAUUAGAUACCCUGGUAGUCCACGCCGUAAACGAUGUCGACUUGGAGGUUGUGCCCUUGAGGCGUGGCUUCCGGAGCUAACGCGUUAAGUCGACCGCCUGGGGAGUACGGCCGCAAGGUUAAAACUCAAAUGAAUUGACGGGGGCCCGCACAAGCGGUGGAGCAUGUGGUUUAAUUCGAUGCAACGCGAAGAACCUUACCUGGUCUUGACAUCCACGGAAGUUUUCAGAGAUGAGAAUGUGCCUUCGGGAACCGUGAGACAGGUGCUGCAUGGCUGUCGUCAGCUCGUGUUGUGAAAUGUUGGGUUAAGUCCCGCAACGAGCGCAACCCUUAUCCUUUGUUGCCAGCGGUCCGGCCGGGAACUCAAAGGAGACUGCCAGUGAUAAACUGGAGGAAGGUGGGGAUGACGUCAAGUCAUCAUGGCCCUUACGACCAGGGCUACACACGUGCUACAAUGGCGCAUACAAAGAGAAGCGACCUCGCGAGAGCAAGCGGACCUCAUAAAGUGCGUCGUAGUCCGGAUUGGAGUCUGCAACUCGACUCCAUGAAGUCGGAAUCGCUAGUAAUCGUGGAUCAGAAUGCCACGGUGAAUACGUUCCCGGGCCUUGUACACACCGCCCGUCACACCAUGGGAGUGGGUUGCAAAAGAAGUAGGUAGCUUAACCUUCGGGAGGGCGCUUACCACUUUGUGAUUCAUGACUGGGGUGAAGUCGUAACAAGGUAACCGUAGGGGAACCUGCGGUUGGAUCACCU